AUUUAUUUAUUUUUAGUUAAUGCUUCGGUAAUUCACUUAGUAGUAGUUAUCUAUCCAAAAAUAUAUUUGAUCCGUGGCUGGUACUGGAAUUGGCAUUGGAAUUAAAAUUGAGGUCGGAAUGAAAUUUGAGAAUGAGAUAUGAAGGUCAUCUGUUUCUAUUUUUAUUUAAAAGCUCAAUUUUUUCCAGAUGGACAUGCUCUAUGGUGAUUUUAAUCGCAGAAAAUAUUUAAUUCUGACCAAAAGUGAUAUCCAAUGCACCAAGUCGAAGAAGGGGGAAGAAAAUCCGGUCGCAAGCUUGGAAACAUUCAUGAGGGCAGUGCUAUGUGCCUCUGCAUCUUUGUCGUCGCCAGCUUCUUCUCGAACCUUCCACCGACUUCUCACCUCGUCUCUCUUCCAGACCUUUCCACCUUUCCCUCCAUGUCUUACCCUCAUCCUCCUCCAACUCCUUUCCUUCAAAUCCAUCGGACCAACCAUUCGCCAUUCAACACCACCACCACCACCAACUAAGUAGAAGAAGAAGAGCAGCAGGAGUCGCAGAGCGGAAGAGAAAGCUAGGGGAUGGGAGCGGACUACUAUAAAAUCCUCCAAGUUGACAAGAACGCCAAAGAGGAAGACCUCAAGAAGGCCUACCGCAAGCUCGCCAUGCGAUGGCACCCCGACAAGAACCCCAACAACAAGAAGGAAGCGGAGGCCAAAUUCAAACAGAUCUCCGAGGCCUACGAGGUUCUAAGUGACCCUCAGAAGCGCGCCAUCUACGACCAGUACGGAGAGGAAGGGCUCAAGGGGCAGGUCCCGCCCCCGGGGGCCGGCGGGGCGUCCUUCUUUCCCGGCGGCGGGGAAGGGCCCACGGUGUUCCACUUUAAUCCAAGGAAUGCUGACGACAUUUUCUCCGAAUUCUUCGGAUUCUCGAGCCCGUUUGGGAGCAUGGGUAGCGGCGGAGGCGGCGGGAUGAGGGGUGGUUCCAGGUUCUCGAGCUCGAUGUUCGGGGAUGACUUCUUUGGGUCGACGUUUGGUCCGGGGGAGGGGCCGAUGGAUUCUCGUCAGCCGCGGAAGGCGGCGCCAAUCGAGAAUUUGUUGCCAUGUAGCCUCGAGGAUCUGUACAAAGGCACCACUAAGAAGAUGAAGAUCUCCAGGGAGAUUGCGGAUAUGAGUGGGAAAACAAUGCCAGUGGAGGAAAUCCUAACUAUUGAUAUAAAGCCUGGUUGGAAGAAGGGAACAAAGAUCACAUUCCCAGAGAAAGGAAACGAACAGCCCAAUGUCAUUCCUGCUGAUAUUGUUUUCAUCAUUGAUGAGAAGCCACAUCCUGUCUUCACAAGGGAAGGGAACGAUCUGGUUGUGACAAGGAAAGUCUCUCUUGUGGAAGCUCUGACUGGCUAUACCGUCCAUUUGACAACACUGGAUGGACGUAGCCUGACCAUACCCAUAAAUUCUGUGAUUCAUCCUAGCUAUGAGGAGAUUGUUCCCGGGGAGGGCAUGCCGAUACCCAAGGAUCCAUCCAGGAAAGGGAAACUUAGAAUCAAGUUCGACAUCAAGUUUCCGACAAGGCUUACUUCUGAGCAGAAAGCUGGGAUUAAAAGACUACUCAGUCCUUAAGCCCAAAACAGCCGGAGACAAGUUAUGAAUAUUUUUAGUUGAGGUUUGCUUGAUGGGAUUGAUGUAUUUGGUAACCUGAUUAGGCAUCUGCAACAAGCUUAAUCUGAUAGCUGAGAUAUAUCAUUUUUUAGUCAUAGAAGUAAAAGAUUGAUAGCAAGUGGAAGAAGAUAUUGCGCGGCCCUCCACACACACCUCCUUCCCAACCCCAAACACCAAAACAAAACGAAAAAAAGGAGAGGGAGAGAGAGAGAACCACAGGAAAUGUAUCAUGAAUCUCACAUUGUUGCCUGAGAUUUCUUCCGGUUAUGAUGCAUUUUUUUCAACAAACGCUUAAGAAAAACAGCGGUUCACACCGUA
This is a non-coding RNA of Elaeis guineensis (African oil palm), 1950 nucleotides long. The record is from RefSeq and is a predicted model, not a curated record. NCBI's taxonomy places the organism in Eukaryota, Viridiplantae, Streptophyta, Magnoliopsida, Arecales, Arecaceae.